CAUUCAUUUGAACCAAACAAGGCUAUAGGCAGUAACCCUACUUCCCCAGCCGGUGCGAAUCCUUGCGGAGUAAAACGCUGUUCAAAAUAUCACCGAAUUGCUCGACCCGCCCAAAACCACAAUCCUUGAUGAAAAACCAUGGAAACUGAAGAGAUAUUAGCAGAGAUUGGCAACGUGGAGGCCCAGAUUCAAGAUGUCCAAGGCCAGAUACAGGUAUUGCUGGAUCGUCAAGAGAAGUUGUACGAGAGACAAUCCGAACUGAAGGCCCUAUUGGAAGCUUGUAGAGCAUAUGGAAGCCCCAAUGCUGCUGAAGAUGCUCCCCAAACUGCAUUAGAGAACUGGUCGGGGACGUUUGAUUGGGACUCUAAAGCUGAUCAUUAUAAGUUUCAUGUAUUUGGCAUUUCAAAAUAUCGUGCAAAUCAGCGUGAAAUCAUCAAUGCUGUCAUGGGUGGAAGAGAUGUUCUUGUAAUUAUGGCUGCAGGUGGGGGCAAGAGCCUAUGUUACCAGCUUCCAGCUAUUCUUCAUGAUGGGAUUGCUCUUGUUAUUAGUCCAUUGAUUUCUUUAAUUCAAGAUCAGGUUAUGGGUUUAAAGUCUUUAGAUAUUCCAGCAUCAAUGCUUACGUCAACCACUGGUAAGGAGGAAGAAAAGUUUAUAUACAAGGCCCUUGAAAAGGGUGAAGGAGUUAAAAUAUUAUAUGUCACACCUGAAAAGAUAUCAAAGAGCAAAAGAUUUAUGUCAAAACUUGAAAAGUGCUAUCAUGGAGGUCAUCUCUCUCUAAUUGCAAUUGAUGAGGCUCAUUGCUGUAGUCAAUGGGGUCACGACUUUCGCCCUGACUAUAAGAACCUUGGUAUCCUCAAGAUUCAGUUUCCCAAUGUCCCUAUGUUGGCUUUGACCGCAACUGCUACUCGAAAAGUCCAAUAUGAUCUGAUGGAGAUGCUACAUAUACCAAAAUGUGUUAAAUUUGUUAGCACAGUCAACAGGCCAAAUCUCUUUUAUAUGGUUCGAGAGAAGUCAUCAAUUGCUAAGGUUGUUAUUGAUGAAAUUGCUGAAUUUAUUCAAGAAUGUUAUCCAAAUAAUGAAUCUGGGAUAGUAUAUUGCUUCUCCAGAAAGGAAUGUGAACAGGUUGCGGCAGAGUUGCGUGAGAGAGGAAUUUCAGCAGAUUAUUACCAUGCAGAUAUGGAUGUCAAUUCUCGUGAGAAGGUUCAUAUGAGGUGGAGCAAAAAUAAGUUGCAGGUCAUUGUUGGUACGGUGGCAUUUGGUAUGGGAAUCAACAAACCAGAUGUCAGGUUUGUCAUCCAUCACAGCCUGAGUAAAUCAAUGGAAACAUACUACCAGGAAAGUGGUCGAGCUGGAAGGGAUGGAGCCCCUUCUGAAUGUCUACUCUUUUUUAGACCUGCUGAUGUUCCCAGGCAGAGUUCAAUGGUCUUCUAUGAGAAUUCUGGACUGCAGAAUCUUUAUGACAUAGUACGAUAUUGCCAGUCAAAAAGAAAAUGUCGCCGAAGUGCCUUUUUCCAACAUUUUUCUGAGCCACUACGAGACUGCAAUGGGAUGUGUGAUAAUUGUGCAUUCUCCAGCGAUAUUAUAGAAGUUGAUGUGUCUGGUCAUGCAAAAAUUAUGGUUUCAUUGCUGCAAGAUAUGCAAGAGAAUGAUCAACGACUGACAAUGUUGCAAUUGGUGGACAAAAUAAAAAAUAAGCACAAGGAAAUAGGUGCUGAGCUUAAGAGAGAAGAGUUAGAACAGCUUGUGAUACGGCUUAUUCUAGAAAGUGUUUUGAAAGAAGAAUUUCAGCAUACAGCAUAUGCCACAAAUGCUUAUGUGAAAAUAGGACCAUUGGCAAAGCAGGUACUGCAAGGGAAGAUGACUGUCAAGCUUGAGAUUUCUAGUAAACAGAACAAGACUGGUAACAUGAAAAGAGUAAAACACAGCGUUACAUUGUCUGGACUGGAAUUUAAACUUGACAGGUUGCGGAAAGAACUCUCUUCAGGUCAUGGGACAACCCCUCAUUCUAUCUUGUCUGCUCAACAGAUGAGCAUGAUCAGUGCACGGAAACCAAAUUCAAUGGAAGAGCUGGAAAAGAUAAUUGGGAAGCUGAAGACAGAAAGGUACGGGAGUAAAAUUCUCGAAGAAAUCAAGAAGUUCGUAGAAUCUGAUGAGCCUGAUAAUGACAAAUUGAAUAAUGAAGGCAGCAAGAACAGACCUACCAAGAGACGGAAGACUAAGAAUAAUGUUGUUCUCAUUGAAAGCAGCGAUGACGAAUAAGUGAAGAUUUGUCUGACAAUGCAAGUAACCAUAUCCUUACUGUUACCGCCACCCCUACAGAAAGUAGAUCUUAGCCAUGCAAAACUCUUAUGCUCACAAGUAAUUGUCAGUUUCUUGUUUGAUUAUAGAACUUGUGGCUUUCUUGUUUUCCCUGUUCUGUGCAGGGGGGAAAGGAGAGUUGCGGUGGAAGGAAAUUAUUUCUUAGUACAUUGUAUUCCGCUAGCGGCAAUCUUAUUUCCUUGCUUUUUUGGGAAUCACGUGAAACUAUGUUUUGAUAUUGCCAAGUACGUCCUAUGCAGUUAGGAGUGUUUUUAUAAAAAUUAUUAAAUUUUAAUUUUUUUAAUAGAAUUUAUGGAAUUUUAAUUUAAUUUAAUAAAAG
RNAcentral lists this unclassified non-coding RNA (2638 nucleotides) under Hevea brasiliensis (rubber tree). The record is from RNAcentral. Lineage: Eukaryota; Viridiplantae; Streptophyta; Magnoliopsida; Malpighiales; Euphorbiaceae.